Molecule: long non-coding RNA, 1100 nt
Filed under: Rattus norvegicus (Norway rat)
Lineage: Eukaryota; Metazoa; Chordata; Mammalia; Rodentia; Muridae
Description: long non-coding RNA NONRATT033985
Rfam family: tRNA (bases 1003-1071)
Source: RNAcentral
UAAUUGAGGGCUUGUUCACAGUUUUAGGUUAGUCCAUGGACAUCAUGACGGUGAAUAUGAUAAAGGCAGGCAUGGUGCUGGAACAGUAGCUGAGAGCUCACUUCUGAUCUAUAAAUUGCAGGCAGAGACUGGGCUUGGCAUGUCCUCUUGAAACCUCAAAGCCAUUCUAGUGGCACAUGUCCUCCAACAAGGCCACACCUCCUAAUCCUUCCCAAACAGUUCCACUAACAGGGAACUAAACAUUCAAAUAUAUGAGCCUAUGAGGGUUCAUUCUCAUUCAAACCAUUACAUAUAUUUUAAAAAGACAAAAGAAACCCAUCAAAAUGGUGUAACUAAGUAAGUCAUUCUUCAUGUAGUUGUGGAAUUACAGAAAACUUCUAAGUUUUCCUACUGUUCAUGUCUUUUAAACAGUACACAUUAUUUUCAUAGUUAACAGUUACAUAAUAUUACCAAGCCGGAGAGAUUUUGACAGUUGAGAGUACUACCUGUCUUGCAGAGGACCAAGGCCAGCACAGUGGUUCACAAAUUGUCCCUACCUCCAGUUCCAGGAGACUGAUCUGACACCCUCUUCUUGCUUCCUGGGCACCAAGCAUGCAUGUGAUUUACAUACAUACAUGCCAUUAGUUACACACACACAUGCAAAAAUAUUUUUUAAAAAUGACAGAUUAGGUGAAAUUGGCUGUGUACAAUAAUUAUCUGUCCUCCCCUCAGAUAAGGGCUAGCAGUAGUGUGACUUUAUUGGGCAAGAGAGGGAAAAUGUUUUGCCUCCUGAUAUUAAACAUGGAAAAAGGGGUCAAAAUUUAGCAGAAUGGCCUGGGGAUGUAGUUCAAUUGCCCAACCAGCUCAAGGCCUAUGGUUUACUCCUUUGCACAACAAAUUACCAGAAGCAGCCUUACUACAACUGUUAUUGCUGUGCUUGGCAACACAUUCAUAUAUAAGCCCCCUUGGUUUUGCUAAAUCUAACUUAGCAUUGUCAUCUUAAAAAUUAAAUAUUCAGGGGUUGGGGAUUUAGCUCAGUGGUAGAGCACUUGCCUAGCAAGCGCAAGGCCCUGGGUUCGGUCCCCAGCUCCAAAAUAAAUAAAUAGAUAAAUAAAUAAAUA